CAUUCCACCAUUAAGACUCCUGAUGCUCCUAACAAGAUGACACCAGCUGCGGUGACCGAGAAGGAUGUUGCUGCUGAUGAUAUUAAGGAAAAUGCUUUCAGUUCCACUGUUGAGACUGCUGAUGCUCCUACCAAGAUGAUCCCAGCUGCUGUUACAGAGAAGGAAGUCGCUGCUGAUGAUUCGCCGAAGAGUGAUCUGACAGAAGAGGAGAGUGACCUCAAUGGAGUGGGCAGUGAGGAGGAUGACCUCAGUGAGUACAGCAGCGAGGAGGAUGACCUCAGUGAGUACAGCAGCGAGGAGGAUGACCUCAGUGAGUACAGCAGCGAGGAGGAUUCCCUCGAGGAGGAGGAUAUGCAGAAGGUGAGCGACUCUGCUGUUGUGAACUUUUAUUCUGAUGAAGAGGAGGACCUCGAGGAUGAGGAUAUGCAGAAGGCUAACGACUCCACUGAAGCUAACUUUGAUUCUAAUGAAGAAGAGGAGGAUCUCAAGAUGCCGGAGACAGUUGAAGAGCCUAAAGAAAAUGAGGAGAGUGGAGAGGAAGACGAUUUCAG
This 551-nucleotide long non-coding RNA is filed under the name Triticum aestivum (bread wheat). RNAcentral's name for it is "long non-coding RNA (TAES_LNC010590)". Lineage: Eukaryota; Viridiplantae; Streptophyta; Magnoliopsida; Poales; Poaceae. The record is from RNAcentral.